GUAGGGAAUAUUGGUCAAUGGACGAAAGUCUGAACCAGCCAUUCCGCGUGUAGGAAGAAGAUUCUAUGGAUUGUAAACUGCUUUUAGCAGAGAAGAAACGCCUUCAUUGAUGAGGGUUUGACGGUAUCUGCGGAAUAAGCACCGGCUAACUCCGUGCCAGCAGCCGCGGUAAUACGGGGGGUGCAAGCGUUAUCCGGAAUCACUGGGUUUAAAGGGUGCGUAGGCGGGAAAUUAAGUCAGUGGUGAAAGUCUGUUGCUUAACGAUAGAAUUGCCGUUGAUACUGAUUUUCUUGAAUUGGGUUGAGGUUAGCGGAAUGUGACAUGUAGCGGUGAAAUGCAUAGAUAUGUCAUGGAACACCAAUUGCGAAGGCAGCUAGCUGGGCCUUGAUUGACGCUGAGGCACGAAAGCGUGGGUAGCGAACAGGAUUAGAAACCCGGGUAGUCC
RNAcentral lists this ribosomal RNA (445 nucleotides) under uncultured bacterium. RNAcentral's name for it is "partial 16S ribosomal RNA". It matches the Rfam family "Bacterial small subunit ribosomal RNA", at positions 354 to 796 of the family's 1533-position model. The record is from RNAcentral.